RNAcentral lists this ribosomal RNA (433 nucleotides) under uncultured bacterium. RNAcentral's name for it is "partial 16S ribosomal RNA". It matches the Rfam family "Bacterial small subunit ribosomal RNA", at positions 29 to 507 of the family's 1533-position model. The record is from RNAcentral.
AACGAACGCUGGCGGCAGGCCUAACACAUGCAAGUCGAGCGGACCUUUCGGGGUCAGCGGCGGACGGGUGAGUAACGCGUGGGAAUAUGCCCUUCUCUACGGAAUAGUCCUGGGAAACUGGGGGUAAUACCGUAUACGCCCUUUGGGGGAAAGAUUUAUCGGGGAAGGAUUAGCCCGCGUUGGAUUAGGUAGUUGGUGGGGUAAUGGCCUACCAAGCCGACGAUCCAUAGCUGGUUUGAGAGGAUGAUCAGCCACACUGGGACUGAGACACGGCCCAGACUCCUACGGGAGGCAGCAGUGGGGAAUCUUAGACAAUGGGGGCAACCCUGAUCUAGCCAUGCCGCGUGAGUGAUGAAGGCCUUAGGGUUGUAAAGCUCUUUCAGCUGGGAAGAUAAUGACGGUACCAGCAGAAGAAGCCCCGGCCAACUCCGUG